Brassica oleracea var. oleracea is the source of this 480-nucleotide long non-coding RNA. RefSeq lists it as uncharacterized. The transcript has 3 exons. The record is from RefSeq and is a predicted model, not a curated record. Lineage: Eukaryota; Viridiplantae; Streptophyta; Magnoliopsida; Brassicales; Brassicaceae.
AUCUGAUCGAUGGCUCCAACACCAGUAAUGUCGUUGAUCGCUCCAAGUUAUGGAAAUAUCUCUUGCCGACAAAACAUAUGAUAUCUUCCCAAGUAUUGAUUCACAGAGACAUCGGUAGAGCUCCUUUUUGGAGGAGAAACUCUUAUGAGUUGAUGUUGAGAUGAGGCGGCUGUAUUCUGAGGGAAGAAACUUCUCCCAGACGAAAUCAGAGUCUCCCGCGACCCGGAAAACAGAGGAGACAGACGCCGAGGAGAAUGUGUCGGCCGGAGUUGUGAAGGAGAGUAUAUUCGCCAAGCAUGCUUCUGGUCCUCAAACCGGCGUUCCCGGCAUCCGUCACUCAACCUUCGAGUCACUCCGUGUUGGUCGUAGUAGUCAGAGCAUAGCCUCUAACCUCCUCGCUUAUGGGAUUCCCUGGACUUUAAGAAAGACAGUGAGUUUAUGGGAAUCACGGUUCUCUUCCUUGAUGAAAAGGUAAGUUAA